CGAGUGGCGAACGGGUGAGUAACACGUGAGUGAUCUGCCCUCAACUUCGGGAUAAGCCUGGGAAACUGGGUCUAAUACUGGAUAGGACCAUCCUUUAGUGUGUGAUGGUGGAAAGUUUUUCGGUUGGGGAUGAGCUCGCGGCCUAUCAGCUUGUUGGUGGGGUAAUGGCCUACCAAGGCGUCGACGGGUAGCCGGCCUGAGAGGGUGUACGGCCACAUUGGGACUGAGACACGGCCCAG
Molecule: ribosomal RNA, 239 nt
Filed under: uncultured bacterium
Lineage: Bacteria
Description: partial 16S ribosomal RNA
Rfam family: Bacterial small subunit ribosomal RNA
Source: RNAcentral